RNAcentral lists this long non-coding RNA (283 nucleotides) under Gallus gallus (chicken). Lineage: Eukaryota; Metazoa; Chordata; Aves; Galliformes; Phasianidae. The record is from RNAcentral.
GAGGACACAUAGGUCAGGAUGAGGAGGGCAAAGUUCUCGAGCAGGUUGAGCAGCAGGUUGAAGUGGCACAGGCGCAGGUAGCGAGGGUGGGAGCAGUGGCAGCUCUGGUAGUGGUUCCAGUAGGCAACGGCCACCAGGAAACGUGGAGCUGAGUGCAGACCAAUGCAGAGCCGCCAGACGUAGCGCUGCGGGGUCUCUCCUCCGAUGGCAGCACUGAUGGAAGGCAGGUAGUUUGGGACCCCGCAGUGGGUGGCUGUUGUCUCCUGGAAGUGGAAGAGCAGAG